This 393-nucleotide ribosomal RNA is filed under the name uncultured bacterium. Its description in RNAcentral is "bacterial SSU rRNA". It matches the Rfam family "Bacterial small subunit ribosomal RNA", at positions 28 to 420 of the family's 1533-position model. The record is from RNAcentral.
GACGAACGCUGGCGGCGUGCUUAACACAUGCAAGUCGAGCGGUAAGGCCCUUUCGGGGGUACACGAGCGGCGAACGGGUGAGUAACACGUGGGUGACCUGCCCUUAGCUCUGGGAUAAGCCUGGGAAACUGGGUCUAAUACCGGAUAUGACUCCAUGACGCAUGUUGUGGGGUGGGAAAGCCUUGUGCGGCUAGGGAUGGGCCCGCGGCCUAUCAGCUUGUUGGUGGGGUGAUGGCCUACCAAGGCGACGACGGGUAGCCGGCCUGAGAGGGCGACCGGCCACACUGGGACUGAGACACGGCCCAGACUCCUACGGGAGGGCAGCAGUGGGGAAUCUUGCGCAAUGGGCGAAAGCCUGACGCAGCGACGCCGCGUGAGGGAUGACGGCCUCGG